Molecule: ribosomal RNA, 561 nt
Filed under: uncultured Glomus
Lineage: Eukaryota; Fungi; Glomeromycota; Glomeromycetes; Glomerales; Glomeraceae
Description: SSU rRNA
Rfam family: Eukaryotic small subunit ribosomal RNA
Source: RNAcentral
UUGGAGGGCAAGUCUGGUGCCAGCAGCCGCGGUAAUUCCAGCUCCAAUAGCGUAUAUUAAAGUUGUUGCAGUUAAAAAGCUCGUAGUUGAAUUUCGGGAUUGACGUGAUGGUCAUGCCUUAAGGGGUAUGAACUGUCACAGUUGAUUUCUCACCUUCUGGAGAAACUUGAUGUCCUUUAUUGGGUGUCUUGCGGAUCCAGGACCUUUACCUUGAAAAAAUUAGAGUGUUUAAAGCAGGCAUUUUUGCUCGAAUACAUUAGCAUGGAAUAAUAGAAUAGGACGGCAUGGUUCUAUUUUGUUGGUUUCUAGGAUCACCGUAAUGAUUAAUAGGGAUAGUUGGGGGCAUUAGUAUUCAAUUGUCAGAGGUGAAAUUCUUGGAUUUAUUGAAGACUAACUACUGCGAAAGCAUUUGCCAAGGAUGUUUUCAUUAAUCAAGAACGAAAGUUAGGGGAUCGAAGACGAUCAGAUACCGUCGUAGUCUUAACCAUAAACUAUGCCGACUAGGAAUCAGACGAUGUUAAUUUUUUAAUGACUCGUUUGGCACCUUACGGGAAACCAAAG